AGUGGGAUAGCUAGGUCAAAUGGUAGUCCCAUUCCCAAUUUUUCUGAGGAAUCUUCAUACUGCUUUCCAUAGUGGUUGCACCCAUUUUCAGUCCCACCAGCAAU
This 104-nucleotide microRNA precursor is filed under the name Marmota monax (woodchuck). Lineage: Eukaryota; Metazoa; Chordata; Mammalia; Rodentia; Sciuridae. The record is from RNAcentral.